Diceros bicornis minor is the source of this 128-nucleotide small nucleolar RNA. The record is from RefSeq and is a predicted model, not a curated record. Lineage: Eukaryota; Metazoa; Chordata; Mammalia; Perissodactyla; Rhinocerotidae.
AAAAGGAUUAAAGAUGCAGCUGCUUUCCCAUUCAAGCGGCAGUCAAAAAGAGCCCAAAGUGACAGUUUUCCUGUACGGCCACUGUUCUGUUGUCUGUAACUGAUUUAUGACAUUUUGGGAAAACAGCU